This 253-nucleotide ribosomal RNA is filed under the name uncultured bacterium. RNAcentral's name for it is "partial 16S ribosomal RNA". It matches the Rfam family "Bacterial small subunit ribosomal RNA", at positions 524 to 776 of the family's 1533-position model. The record is from RNAcentral.
UACGUAGGGUGCGAGCGUUGUCCGGAAUUAUUGGGCGUAAAGAGCUCGUAGGCGGUCUGUCGAGUCGAAUGUGAAAACCCGGGGCUCAACUCCGGGCUUGCAUUCGAUACGGGCAGGCUAGAGUUCGGCAGGGGAGACUGGAAUUCCUGGUGUAGCGGUGGAAUGCGCAGAUAUCAGGAGGAACACCGGUGGCGAAGGCGGGUCUCUGGGCCGAUACUGACACUGAGAAGCGAAAGCGUGGGGAGCGAACAGG